GGCUUCUCACAGGAUCAAGAGGAUGAUCAGAAGGCAAGAGGUAUGGACUCUGCAGCCCGUGUCCUGUGCAAGCUCCCUUCCCCCACCUAGCAACCAAACAGAAGGUUCUAAGUCAAGAAGAAAGAACAGAGAGAGAUACAGGAUGAAAUAAACCCGAAGACCUCGGUCAUGCCCCUGCCUCAGCUGCUCCACACCAAAGAUCCCUGAUGAGUACAGACUCACCAGAGAAGGGCCCAUGUGUGACCCCAUCACCAACAUGUGCUUAGCACCUGAAGAGAGGCUGAAUGUGCACCUGUCAGAGGAAUGAAGAGCAUUCUGGGUGUGUGAACCACAAUGCAUUUGCAAGACCGAAGGGCAGCCUGGGUGCCUGGCUGUGCAUGUGCAGAAUCAAAAUUCAAAGAAGUUCCUGAGAAACCAGGAAAUAACACACAGUUCAAGCCACCAAACACGACUUUCCCAUCAACUAAAUUUCGCCUGAUUCUAUCGUUUUCCCAGAGGACCAGCAGCCAUUUCUGGUUUCAUUCAAUUCCUUUCUUAUUUUAUUUCUAAUUUGUUUUAAAAAAAAAUCCCAUCUAUUGGAUGAAUGCACAUUUAGCAAACAGGAAUAAACGGGCAUCUCUCAUUAGAACAAGAUAGCUUUCAUCUUUCUCCUGGACUUUAGUCCUGUUUUUCCACUUGAUGCUCAUCACUGCGUCCCAGGGAACAAAGACUUGGAAAAAAACGCUGCUGUUUUGGAGUUUGCUCUUGAGAAGCCCUGUGGAGUUAGGCAGAGGACACUCUGGCUGUUGUCUCAUUCUGAGAGGAAACAAGGAAGCUCUCUGGGGUGCUUGCAAAUACCUGCUCUUUUUUAACAUGUUCACCCUAAUUUCUACUCUUUCUGCCUCAUACACAGCUAGCCUGCUCUGGAAUUAAAUAAAUGAAUACAUACGUGUG
This is a long non-coding RNA of Peromyscus eremicus (cactus mouse), 933 nucleotides long. RefSeq lists it as uncharacterized. The record is from RefSeq and is a predicted model, not a curated record. The transcript is spliced from 2 exons. Lineage: Eukaryota; Metazoa; Chordata; Mammalia; Rodentia; Cricetidae.